This 253-nucleotide ribosomal RNA is filed under the name uncultured bacterium. RNAcentral's name for it is "partial 16S ribosomal RNA". It matches the Rfam family "Bacterial small subunit ribosomal RNA", at positions 524 to 776 of the family's 1533-position model. The record is from RNAcentral.
UACAGAGGGUGCGAGCGUUGUUCGGAAUUAUUGGGCGUAAAGCGCUGGUAGGUGGCUUGUUAAGUCGCGUGUGAAAGCUCCAGGCUCAACCUGGAAAGUGCGCGCGAAACUGGCGAGCUUGAGUGCCGGAGAGGGUCGUGGAAUUCCCAGUGUAGAGGUGAAAUUCGUAGAUAUUGGGAGGAACACCAGAGGCGAAGGCGACGACCUGGAAGGUAACUGACACUGAGCAGCGAAAGCGUGGGGAGCAAACAGG